CCUACGGGGGGCUGCAGUAGGGAAUAUUGGGCAAUGGGCGCAAGCCUGACCCAGCCAUGCCGCGUGAAGGACGAAGGUGCUCAGCAUUGUAAACUUCUUUUCUCCGAGAAUAAGGGCUUUGUAACUCAAGGCAUUGAAGGUAUCGGAGGAAUAAGCACCGGCAAACUACGUGCCAGCAGCCGCGGUAAUACGUAGGGUGCAAGCGUUGUCCGGAUUUACUGGGUUUAAAGGGUGCGUAGGCGGUUUGAUCAGUCGGUGAUGAAAUGCAGGAGCUC
Molecule: ribosomal RNA, 275 nt
Filed under: uncultured bacterium
Lineage: Bacteria
Description: partial 16S ribosomal RNA
Rfam family: Bacterial small subunit ribosomal RNA
Source: RNAcentral